RNAcentral lists this ribosomal RNA (756 nucleotides) under Graffenrieda sessilifolia. Its description in RNAcentral is "eukaryotic LSU rRNA". The stretch from base 315 to 469 matches the Rfam family "5.8S ribosomal RNA". The record is from RNAcentral. Lineage: Eukaryota; Viridiplantae; Streptophyta; Magnoliopsida; Myrtales; Melastomataceae.
CCUUUCAUUUAGAGGAAGGAGAAGUCGUAACAAGGUUUCCGUAGGUGAACCUGCGGAAGGAUCAUUGUCGAAAUCGAACGGAAGAACGACCCGCGAAUCGUCACCGCGUACUAGAGACCUCGUGAGCAGCUAACGCGCACGCGGCUCGCGUCGCGUCGGCGCGGGUGUGCUAGAGACCCGCGUCGCACCGGCGAACGAACAAACUUCAGCACGGAUCGUGCCAAGGAGCUGCAUUUUGAGAAUCGUCGUCCCACGCCCCGAUCGUCCUCGAUGCGGGACGGGGGAUGCACGCAAUCUCUGAUAAAAGUCUAAACGACUCUCGGCAACGGAUAUCUCGGUCUUGCAUCGAUGAAGAACGCAGCGAAAUGCGAUACUUGGUGUGAAUUGCAGAAUCCCGCGAACCAUCAAUUCUUUGAACGCAAGUUGCGCCCGAAGCCAUUCGGCCGAGGGCACGCCUGCCUGGGUGUCGUGAAUCCCCUUGCCCCUAGGCACCCGCACGAGCAUCGGCGGGGAUUAUAUAUGCGAGGGCGCAGAAUAUGGUCUCCCGUGGGAUCGGCAUGCGCGGCAUGCCGAGGCGCGGUUGGCCGAAAAUCGAGCACGGCGGUGACGGGCACCACGGCGUUGGGUGGGAUCGAACGAGAUUGGCCGCGUCGUGGUCUCGGCAUGCUGCGGGCUCCGGACUUUGACAAUCCCCGAGUGCGAUCCCAGGUCGGGCGGGGCWACCCGCUGAGUUUAAGCAUAUCAAUAAGCGGAGGA